Molecule: ribosomal RNA, 775 nt
Filed under: uncultured Neocallimastigales
Lineage: Eukaryota; Fungi; Neocallimastigomycota; Neocallimastigomycetes; Neocallimastigales
Description: partial large subunit ribosomal RNA
Rfam family: Eukaryotic large subunit ribosomal RNA
Source: RNAcentral
UUAUGUGAUCGUCUCUCGCAUAUCAAUAAGCGGAGGAAAAGAAACUAACAAGGAUUCCCCUAGUAACGGCGAGUGAAGCGGGAAGAGCUCAAAUUUGAAAUCUUAAAGGGUUUCCCUUUACGAAUUGUAGUUUAAAGAAGUGUUUUCUGUUGAGGUUUUGGUAAAAGUUCUUUGGAAUAGGACAUCAUAGAGGGUGAGAAUCCCGUAUUUGACCUUUACUUUCAACUUUGUGAUACACUUUCAAAGAGUCGGAUUGUUUGGGAAUGCAGUCCAAAAUGGGUGGUAAAUUUCAUCUAAAGCUAAAUAUUGGCGAGAGACCGAUAGCGAACAAGUACCGUGAGGGAAAGAUGAAAAGAACUUUGAAUAGAGAGUUAAACAGUACGUGAAAUUGUCAAAAGGGAAGCGUUUGACACCAGUGUUGUUUUUCUGAAAAUCAAUUAAAGAACUGUUUAUGCUAAGUUGUUUAGACUUUAUCAGCUAACUGUUUAGUUUUGAGCUUUUCUUUAAUGCACUUUUCAGUUAACAAGUCAACAUCAAUUUCUUUUGCUGUAAAAAAGCUUGAGGAAGGUGGCUUGAGAUUCGUCUUAAGUGUUUAUAGCCUCUUGCCUAUGCAGUCGGAGAGAUUGAGGUCUGCAGCGUAGAUCCUUCGGGGCUAAAUGCAUUUGUGCUAAGUUAUAGCAUUUUAUAGACAACUUGUUGACUAUGAUUUGUCUUGUAGCUUACUCGCUUAUGUUAUUUUACCUACGCUUAGGAUGUUGACACACGCGCGUGCUCG